AUAUUGGACAAUGGGCGAAAGCCUGAUCCAGCCAUGCCGCGUGUGUGUCGUAGGUCUUCGUAUUGUAAAGCACUUUAUUUUGGGAGGAAGGGCAGUAAGUUAAUACCUUGCUGUUUUUACGUUACCGACAGAAUAAGCACCGCCUAACUUCGUGCCAGCAGCCGCGGUAAUACGAAGGGUGCAAGCGUUAAUCGGAAUUACUUGGCGUAAAGCGCGAGUAGGUGGUUCGUUAAGUUGGAAGUGAAAGCCCCGGGCUUAACCUGGGAAUUGCUUUCAAAACUGACGAGCUAGAGUACGGUAGAGGGUAGUGGAAUUUCCUGUGUAGCGGUGAAAUGCGUAGAUAUAGGAAGGAACACCAGUGGCGAAGGCGACCACCUGGGCUAAUACUGACACUGAGGUGCGAAAGCGUGGGGAGCAAACAGG
This 423-nucleotide ribosomal RNA is filed under the name uncultured bacterium. Its description in RNAcentral is "partial 16S ribosomal RNA". It matches the Rfam family "Bacterial small subunit ribosomal RNA", at positions 361 to 776 of the family's 1533-position model. The record is from RNAcentral.